AUCCAUCUGACGAGCGCCAAAUAGGACGAAAAGCGCGUCCUGGAU
Molecule: non-coding RNA, 45 nt
Organism: Schistosoma rodhaini
Lineage: Eukaryota; Metazoa; Platyhelminthes; Trematoda; Strigeidida; Schistosomatidae
Source: Rfam